GUUUUGAGUGCCAAGGAGUUAAACGUUAACACCUGGCCUAUAUUUCUAAUCAGCAGCAUCUGCCAACUACGUGAUACAAUUGACGAAUCACUCAA
This is a long non-coding RNA of Thalassophryne amazonica, 95 nucleotides long. RefSeq lists it as uncharacterized. The record is from RefSeq and is a predicted model, not a curated record. The transcript has 3 exons. NCBI's taxonomy places the organism in Eukaryota, Metazoa, Chordata, Actinopteri, Batrachoidiformes, Batrachoididae.